GACCUGUAGUGCUACAGCUGCUCGUAGUGAAGCUGCUGGAGUUUGACUAUACAUAAAUAUGGAUCUCAAUGAGCCCUUGUAAUGGAUGUUGAUGAUAAUUGAUCCACUGUAGGGGUAGGGUGUAUAUCUAGAUGGAAUCUAUCGAUCCUAGCAGAAGAAUGUAGUCCUAUGGGAUUUAAGAAGCUGAGUCUUUAAGUCUAUGGCCAUAGCAGUAUGACUAAUAGAAAAGAACUCUAUGAGAAUCACAUAUAGACUCAAGCUGAUUAAAUCUAUCAUAUGAUCGAUGAUGAGGUUUGAUGAUUCAUCCAUGAUCUGUUAUCU
This 321-nucleotide long non-coding RNA is filed under the name Elaeis guineensis (African oil palm). Its description in RNAcentral is "long non-coding RNA (EGUI_LNC076126)". The record is from RNAcentral. Lineage: Eukaryota; Viridiplantae; Streptophyta; Magnoliopsida; Arecales; Arecaceae.